UAGGGAAUAUUGGUCAAUGGAGGCAACUCUGAACCAGCCAUGCCGCGUGCAGGAAGACGGCCCUCUGGGUUGUAAACUGCUUUUGAAUGGGAAGAAACGAUAGUAUGCGUACUAUUUUGACGGUACCAUUAGAAUAAGCCACGGCUAACUACGUGCCAGCAGCCGCGGUAAUACGUAGGUGGCGAGCGUUAUCCGGAUUUAUUGGGUUUAAAGGGUGCGUAGGCGGUUUAUUAAGUCGGUGGUGAAAGGUAGCAGCUUAACUGUUUUACAUGCUGCCGAUACUGAUAGACUUGAGUUGUUAGAAGGUAGCUAGAAUUCCUGGUGUAGCGGUGAAAUGCUUAGAUACCAGGAGGAAUACCAAUUGCGAAGGCAGGUUACUGCAUACAAACUGACGCUGAGG
This 400-nucleotide ribosomal RNA is filed under the name uncultured bacterium. Its description in RNAcentral is "bacterial SSU rRNA". It matches the Rfam family "Bacterial small subunit ribosomal RNA", at positions 355 to 751 of the family's 1533-position model. The record is from RNAcentral.